This 253-nucleotide ribosomal RNA is filed under the name uncultured bacterium. Its description in RNAcentral is "partial 16S ribosomal RNA". It matches the Rfam family "Bacterial small subunit ribosomal RNA", at positions 524 to 776 of the family's 1533-position model. The record is from RNAcentral.
UACGAAGGGGGCUAGCGUUGCUCGGAAUCACUGGGCGUAAAGCGCGCGUAGGCGGAUCUUUAAGUCAGGGGUGAAAUCCCAAGGCUCAACCUUGGAACUGCCUUUGAUACUGGGGAUCUCGAGUCCGGAAGAGGUGAGUGGAACUGCGAGUGUAGAGGUGAAAUUCGUAGAUAUUCGCAAGAACACCAGUGGCGAAGGCGGCUCACUGGCCCGGUACUGACGCUGAGGUGCGAAAGCGUGGGGAGCAAACAGG